RNAcentral lists this ribosomal RNA (497 nucleotides) under uncultured bacterium. RNAcentral describes it as "partial 16S ribosomal RNA". It matches the Rfam family "Bacterial small subunit ribosomal RNA", at positions 28 to 507 of the family's 1533-position model. The record is from RNAcentral.
GACGAACGCUGGCGGCGUGCCUAAUACAUGCAAGUUGAGCGCUGAAGGUUGGUACUUGUACCAACUGGAUGAGCAGCGAACGGGUGAGUAACGCGUGGGGAAUCUGCCUUUGAGCGGGGGACAACAUUUGGAAACGAAUGCUAAUACCGCAUAAAAACUUUAAACACAAGUUUUAAGUUUGAAAGAUGCAAUUGCAUCGCUCAAAGAUGAUCCCGCGUUGUAUUAGCUAGUUGGUGAGGUAAAGGCUCACCAAGGCGAUGAUACAUAGCCGACCUGAGAGGGUGAUCGGCCACAUUGGGACUGAGACACGGCCCAAACUCCUACGGGAGGCAGCAGUAGGGAAUCUUCGGCAAUAGACGAAAGUCUGACCGAGCAACGCCGCGUGAGUGAAGAAGGUUUUCGGAUCGUAAAACUCUGUUGGUAGAGAAGAACGUUGGUGAGAGUGGAAAGCUCAUCAAGUGACGGUAACUACCCAGAAAGGGACGGCUAACUACGUG